Molecule: long non-coding RNA, 590 nt
Organism: Hyaena hyaena (striped hyena)
Lineage: Eukaryota; Metazoa; Chordata; Mammalia; Carnivora; Hyaenidae
Exons: 3
Source: RefSeq, a predicted model, not a curated record
AGAAAGAAAGAAAGACAAGGAAGCAACUAAAAAUUCCCCCAAAGAUCUAUGUGGCUUUGUUCCCUGUGAUUUUACAAUGCUACUUCUAAAGUAACCGGAGACUCUCAAGGUCCUUGCCUAAGAAACCAGAGAACUAUAAAGAAGAUUGAAUGAAGCAUCCAGACAUGAAGGGUUUCACAAUUCAGGUAAUGCACAACCAUUUGAGGAAUGCCUCUUAUCUCUUAUCUCACAGUGGUCAAACCACCCUCACCUGUGACCUGUUGUCAUGAGAAGCUCAGACAUUGAGGCCAAGAUCCUCACAGCUAUCCAGAGUCAGUUUCUGUUGCAUGUGAUCAAAAGAACCGUCACUAACAAAGCCUGCAUGUUGGACUUCAGUGCAAAGAAACAUUUCGUAUUUGCAGCAUAAGAAUGUGAAUUUUACCCCCUCCCCCAGAAUAUCACAAAUGAAAUAUUUUCUUAAAAGUUCAUACAAGUCCACUGGUGACUGAAAAAUUCCUCUCUAGCAUGAUCUUCCCCUUCAUCUUCCAGGCUCCUAUCCAACUUCUUACUUGAUUUCUCCAUUUGAAUAUCUAAUAAACAUCUCAAACUUA